CAAAACAUGUGGUCGCUGCCCUACAGAGGAAGAAGCUCUCGGACAAAGCAUGUAAUUGAACGAAGAUCUACUCUACUCCGUCGUGAAGAGCUCAAGGCUGUACAUCCGGUUGCUGCAGGAGCACAUCGUUCUGAUUGUGUAAUCCGUUUGAUUUGCAGUACAGGAGAGAGUGACCCCGAUCAGCUGUUCACUGUGAAAACCACAAGGACAGCGACAUCCUAUGGGAGAAACAUAUCAAGCAAAACUUUCGCAUUCAGAAGCGCAAAGGGGCAAUACGAAAUGCGAGUCCUGGCUGGAAAUGUUCAUGUGUUAUUUCAUUACAGAUGAGAAGCGAGAGACCAAACUCUUAAAAGGUGAUUUAACGUUGCGAAGGUGGUUGACUCCCCUUAAAGUAGAUGCCGGUGCACGGUACAAAGUCUAUGUCCAGUUUUCCAGUCAACGAACCAAAAAGGCACUGCUUAUGUCGAAAGUCAUGCAAUCAAAGACAUAUACUUUCACAACUGCAGCACUUUGUUUAAAUCCCUUUACGUUUCACAAAUAAACUGGAAUUCAUAGUCCGUA
RNA transcript from Armigeres subalbatus, 561 nucleotides. RefSeq lists it as uncharacterized. Lineage: Eukaryota; Metazoa; Arthropoda; Insecta; Diptera; Culicidae. The transcript has 3 exons. The record is from RefSeq and is a predicted model, not a curated record.